AUGCCAAAACCUAUAAUCUUUGCA
This 24-nucleotide non-coding RNA is filed under the name Arabidopsis thaliana (thale cress). The record is from RNAcentral. Lineage: Eukaryota; Viridiplantae; Streptophyta; Magnoliopsida; Brassicales; Brassicaceae.